Molecule: transfer RNA, 73 nt
Filed under: Camelus bactrianus (Bactrian camel)
Lineage: Eukaryota; Metazoa; Chordata; Mammalia; Artiodactyla; Camelidae
Also listed under: 2 other names
Rfam family: tRNA
About the family: Transfer RNA (tRNA) molecules are approximately 80 nucleotides in length. Their secondary structure includes four short double-helical elements and three loops (D, anti-codon, and T loops).
Source: Rfam by way of RNAcentral
GAAGGCAUAGCUCAAGUGGCAGAGUGUGUGCUUAGCACGCACCAGGUCCUGGGUUCAAUCCCCAGUCCCUCCA